GUUUUAGACUCUUCCUCUUUAUAAAUAAAAGGGAUCCGUGACUUGGUUUGUUUGUGGACAAACAAGUCAUACCUUGAUCUGCUAUGCUAUAGGUUUUUGUUUCCGUAUAGAAGAAAUGAUGCAAGUUUCCACGGCGUUUGAAGAGGAAGAUGAAGCGGAGGAUUGUCCUAGUUGUGAUUAGAACAACAUACUUUGCUCAAUCAUUGAAUCAAUGAUUUGCCAAGAAGCAACACUGUGGAUACAGAAUCAAAUAUACAACCCUUGCAAAUUAAACGUGAAAACCAGUUGCACCCACUUGCUUUUUCGUCCCUUCUUCCACCACCUCUUCCAAGUUUCUUCUAAUUCCUUUCCAUUUUCAAUAAAAGUUUUUUUAUUUAAAAAAAGGCCGUUGUGCUUGUUUCUCUGCUACAAGCUUCUAAAACUGCCACAGCCUCUGCAUGAUUGCCACGUAUCUGCCAUGCCGAGUUCCAUUUCUCUUUACAGCCGCUAUAAAUAGAGACCAUGCCCUCCAUUCCUCGCUGCAGCAGCUUAGAAGCUCCACCAUCAUCAGUUGACGGUCUGUUCUGUUCAUCUCUUUGUGUCUAUUUUCUCAGGAAAAUAGAUAGCAUGGAGAGGCAGCAGACUUUGAAACUUUGAUUGGAGGUCUACUUCUUCCUUAAAAGCAUGGGUGAAGGGAUGAUUUGAAUCAAACCAAACCCAGCUAAUAAAGGAUGAGUUAAGGCUUCGACCUUAGCUUAAGGCUCUGCCAUAGAAAUGGGUGUUGGCGUGGGAGAGUAACUAUAUCCAUAGAAAUGGUUAUGUUGUAUUACAUUGGAGACCUUUAUAAAAGUGUCUCUUGGCAUCACAAAUGUAAUAUUCAUGAAUAAAAUAAGUGUUACAAAUUUGAAUGCUUACCUUUCCGUA
Molecule: long non-coding RNA, 903 nt
Organism: Prunus avium (sweet cherry)
Lineage: Eukaryota; Viridiplantae; Streptophyta; Magnoliopsida; Rosales; Rosaceae
Source: RefSeq, a predicted model, not a curated record